This 253-nucleotide ribosomal RNA is filed under the name uncultured bacterium. RNAcentral's name for it is "partial 16S ribosomal RNA". It matches the Rfam family "Bacterial small subunit ribosomal RNA", at positions 524 to 776 of the family's 1533-position model. The record is from RNAcentral.
UACAGAGGGGGCAAGCGUUGUUCGGAAUUACUGGGCGUAAAGGGCGCGUAGGCGGCCUGUUAAGUCGAACGUGAAAUCCCCGGGCUCAACCCGGGAACUGCGUCCGAUACUGGCAGGCUUGAAUCCGGGAGAGGGAUGCGGAAUUCCAGGUGUAGCGGUGAAAUGCGUAGAUAUCGGGAGGAACACCCGUAGCGAAGGCGGCACUCUGGGCCGGUACUGACGCUGAGGAGCGAAAGCGUGGGGAGCAAACAGG